AGUGAAGCGGCAACAGCUCAAAUUUGAAAUCUGGCCUUCGGGUCCGAGUUGUAAUUUGUAGAGGAUACUUUUGGCGCGGUGCCUUCCGAGUUCCCUGGAACGGGACGCCUUAGAGGGUGAGAGCCCCGUACGGUUGGACGCUAAGCCUCUGUAAAGUUCCUUCGACGAGUCGAGUAGUUUGGGAAUGCUGCUCUAAAUGGGAGGUAAAUUUCUUCUAAAGCUAAAUACCGGCCAGAGACCGAUAGCGCACAAGUAGAGUGAUCGAAAGAUGAAAAGCACUUUGAAAAGAGGGUUAAAUAGCACGUGAAAUUGUUGAAAGGGAAGCGUUUGCGACCAGACCUCUUCCUAGCGGAUCAUCCGGUGUUCUCACCGGUGCACUUCGCUAGGUCUAGGCCAGCAUCGGUUUCUGUAGGGGGAUAAAAGCUUAGGGAAUGUGGCUCCCUCGGGAGUGUUAUAGCCCUUUUCAUAAUACCCUUACGGGGACCGAGGACCGCGCUUUUGCAAGGAUGCUGGCAUAAUGGUCGUCAACGACCCGUCUUGAAACACGGACCAAGGAGUCGAACAUUUGUGCGAGUGUUUGGGUGUUAAACCCUCACGCGUAAUGAAAGUGAACGGAGGUGAGAGCCCUUUACGGGCGCAUCAUCGACCGAUCCUGAUGUCUUCGGAUGGAUUUGAGUAAGAGCAUAACUGUUCGGACCCGAAAGAUGGUGAACUAUGCGUGGAUAGGGUGAAGCCAGAGGAAACUCUGGUGGAGGCUCGCAGCGGUUCUGACGUGCAAAUCGAUCGUCAAAUCUGCGCAUGGGGGCGAAAGACUUAUCGAACCAUUAACCCAGCGGUAAAUUUGAUUUACUAGGUGGUUAAGAGGCCGCUCGCGAGAGCAU
RNAcentral lists this ribosomal RNA (881 nucleotides) under Clypeosphaeria oleae. Its description in RNAcentral is "partial large subunit ribosomal RNA". It matches the Rfam family "Eukaryotic large subunit ribosomal RNA", at positions 92 to 1424 of the family's 3401-position model. Lineage: Eukaryota; Fungi; Ascomycota; Sordariomycetes; Xylariales; Xylariaceae. The record is from RNAcentral.